RNAcentral lists this ribosomal RNA (511 nucleotides) under uncultured Glomus. RNAcentral's name for it is "SSU rRNA". It matches the Rfam family "Eukaryotic small subunit ribosomal RNA", at positions 569 to 1081 of the family's 1831-position model. Lineage: Eukaryota; Fungi; Glomeromycota; Glomeromycetes; Glomerales; Glomeraceae. The record is from RNAcentral.
AGCAGCCGCGGUAAUUCCAGCUCCAAUAGCGUAUAUUAAAGUUGUUGCAGUUAAAAAGCUCGUAGUUGAAUUUCGGGGUCAGUAGGUUGGUCGUGCCACUGGUAUGCACUGGCCUCACUGAUUCCUCCUUCCUGAUGAACCGUAAUGCCAUUAAUUUGGUGUUGCGGGGAAUCUGGACUGUUACUUUGAAAAAAUUAGAGUGUUUAAAGCAGGCUAACGCUUGAAUACAUUAGCAUGGAAUAAUGAAAUAGGACGAUCGAUCCUAUUUUGUUGGUUUCUAGGAUUGACGUAAUGAUUAAUAGGGAUAGUUGGGGGCAUUAGUAUUCAAUUGUCAGAGGUGAAAUUCUUGGAUUUAUUGAAGACUAACUACUGCGAAAGCAUUUGCCAAGGAUGUUUUCAUUAAUCAAGAACGAAAGUUAGGGGAUCGAAGACGAUCAGAUACCGUCGUAGUCUUAACCAUAAACUAUGCCGACUAGGGAUCGGAUGAUGUUAAUUUUUUAAUGACUCAUUC